UGUGGGAGCGAGCCUGCUCGCGAUGGGGCCGGUACAUUCAAUGUUGAUAUUGUUUGACCGUCCGCCAUCGCGAGCAGGCUCGCUCCCACA
Molecule: unclassified non-coding RNA, 90 nt
Filed under: Pseudomonas sp. A214
Lineage: Bacteria; Pseudomonadati; Pseudomonadota; Gammaproteobacteria; Pseudomonadales; Pseudomonadaceae
Source: RNAcentral